This is an RNA transcript of Ctenopharyngodon idella (grass carp), 2495 nucleotides long. It is a transcript of the gene named transmembrane protein 222b, with no coding region annotated. The record is from RefSeq and is a predicted model, not a curated record. The transcript is spliced from 7 exons. Lineage: Eukaryota; Metazoa; Chordata; Actinopteri; Cypriniformes; Xenocyprididae.
AAAAGUGUGUGGUCUGCAGUGGCCAUAGGGACCCCGGAAACGCGCCGCGCGUGUCGCCAGCGCGCUGCAGCUUCCAGGAAGCGGAACGAAUGAAGUUCAUUUCUCACAGCUGGUGAUGGCGGAUGCUGUCGAAAUAGAGACCAUGAAGAAUUAUAACAUAGCGUUUGAGAGGAUAGACCCGAGCAUAAGCCGCUAUCCCUACUGUAUUGUAUGGACGCCAAUCCCUGUGUUAUCAUGGCUGUUUCCAUUCAUUGGCCACAUGGGCAUCUGCACCUCCACUGGAGUGAUCCGUGAUUUUGCAGGUCCAUACUUUGUCUCAGAAGACAACAUGGCGUUUGGAAGACCAACAAAGUACUGGAUGUUAGAUGCAAGUAAAGUAUAUGCCAGUGGAUCUAACGUGUGGGACACAGCAAUUCACAAUGCAUCAGAAGAGUAUAAACAGAGAAUGCACAACCUUUGUUGUGACAAUUGUCACUCACAUGUUGCCAUGGCACUGAACUUGAUGCGCUAUGACAACAGCACCUCGUGGAAUAUGGUGAAUCUCUGCCUACUCUCACUCAUUCAUGGCAAACACGUCAGUUGCCUAGGCUUCCUGAAGACCUGGCUUCCAUUCUGCAUCUUAACCAGCGUCAUCCUGGCUGUUGCCCUGUCUCUAAACCUGCGAUGACCGCGCAGGAUCAGAUAGAGGUGGGGCGGCUCAGGGUGAGUGGGCACAAAGUCCAGUGCCCAUCGGGGACCCAUUUCUUCAGCUUAAGGGGGACUCCAAUGAAUGUCAACUUGAAGUCCAGCUCUUCAAAGCGUAGAGGAGCUCAACAUCAAAAAUCAAAUGCUAAACCUCUUUGUCGUAGGGUAGAGACAGCAAAUACACCAUGGCUUCAACGUCUUGUGGUGAUUAUUGCCAAGAGCAGCAGGUAGCCAAGUGUCUUGAGCUCUUUGGAGACUCUUCAGAUGGGCUGCUGUGUGUGAGGAGUGUGUGGCCCCUGCUGGCACCGGCUAGAGCUGAUCAGAUUAGAAAGCCUGUGUGAAGUGUGACGUUCUUACCGACGGCUUUCCUGUCUUCAAAGACGUGAACUAGUGGAUCAGAAGCGCAUUUGACUGUUUUAAUAGUCACUGCAGCCCAGUACUUCCCAUUUCCUGUUUGUAAUCCCUAAAGAUGAGGGCAUUCCACAGGUUUAUACUUUUAUAAAACAUUCAUUCAUUCACUGAAAUCUUUCUAUGGUUAUAAUAUCUAUGUAAAAUGUUAAAUUCACAUGCCACUUUCCACAAAUAGGGUACAAAAGCGCCUGAAAUUAAAUAUAAAAGAUUUUAUUUUCCAUGUUACAAAGUGAUAAAAGAUUUUAUUUUCCAUGUUACAAAGUGGCACUUACAUUUUUUGAUAGAUUUUUGGCAUUAGAACAGUUUAAUUAGCAGAUUCCAUAACUAUCCAUAUCUUAUCUAUGCGUAAAAAUGAGCUGCAAAUGUUUUCCUUUCAUGCACUGCUGUUAAGCUCAGCAUUACACUACCUUUGCACAAUUACUAACACAUAGACUUUUAAUAUUCACAAAACUAUCACCUCAAACCUUCUGCAGCUGCAUUAGUGUGUUUGAAUUAGCGUGUGUGCGUGUGUGCGUGUGUGCGCGUGCGCGCGCGUGUGUGUGUGUGUGUGUGUGUGUGCGCACGUGAAUGUUUGCUUAUUAGCAUGUUCUCUAUAAGCCAGUACGCAUGUGUCUGUUACUGAGAAAGUAUGAUAUUGGUGAUUAGUAUUUAACACUUGAUAGUUCUGGGUUUCUUAUUUAUUGCUAAUAAUCAAAUGUAUUUUAAUAUCAAGUUAUUAGAAUCUUUGUAAUAAUAUAUUUUGCCUUCUAGAGAACUGGCUGCAUGUAUUUUGCCCUCUGGCUGUAGUAUGUGUGGUAUGUUGAGUGUUCUAGAUAAAUAAGAGAGGCAGAAUGCUUCUUUUUUUUUUUAACCCUGAAUAACGUCAACCAUUCAGUAAAGCACAUGGAACAACUAGAAACAGGGUAAAAUAAAAACACUUCACAAGGCCUUUCUUACUCCAGAUGAGUUACCACUUAAUUUUAUAUUCAUAAGGCAAUAACCUUCUACACUAUUCUGUAUUCAAUAUAAGAAGGUGAAGAAAGAUGACUGUAUGCUUUAUCUGAUUUGUUUUUAUAAAUUGUGCAUCCGUUUAAAUUGGUCUUUCAUUGUCUUUUACUUUUCCUUUCUUUUACUCCAAAGCACCCAGUAAUGGGGAUUUUAAAUCGAGUUAUUGAGUUUGCACAAUUAAUUUCCUCAUAGCUGAGUCUGUGUCCAUAGCAAGACCACCAAUGGCAAAAGCCAAUAUCCUGCCAUCAAAAACCAAUGGAAACGUAAAAUCAUCUUCUAUGUCAUUUAAAGUUCCCAGUUUUGUAUAAUUAUCAUCAAAUUUCAAACAGAUUCUGCCAACAAUAUAAUGUAUGAUAUUUAAUGUCCAUGCAUUAUUGAUAUCAAUAAAAAAUGUUUACUAUUACUAUAUACAA